This 1273-nucleotide long non-coding RNA is filed under the name Felis catus (domestic cat). RNAcentral describes it as "lncRNA (ENSFCAG00000043463.2)". Lineage: Eukaryota; Metazoa; Chordata; Mammalia; Carnivora; Felidae. The record is from RNAcentral.
CUGUAUUAUAUAAUCUUUAAGAACAUACUUUUUAAUAGUUACAUAAUGUUUUAUCACAUUUAUCUAUCAGAAUUUAACUGUCUCUUAUUUACAUAGUUUCUGAGCUGAUACUACAAUAAGCCUCUUUGUAUAAAAAUCUUUACUCAUGUCUCUACUAUGUCCUUCAGAUAAACUCGGUUAGGACUUGACACAUGAAUAUCCAGCAGCUGUGAUAGUAUGGAAGGGUCAUUCUAGCAGGGUCAGACUCAGACUGUUAUCCACGACUUCUAUAAUUUUCUAUCUGUAGAACAGACUGAAACACAACAUGCCAAACUCUGCAUAUGGCUUUCCUAUGGAAAUGAGAACACUGAGGUCUGAAGAUGAACAACAGAAAGCAACAGAAAAGUAUAUGCACUAGGUCUGCACAAACGCACACAAGAAUCCACCGUUUUACUAUAGAGGAUGUUACGGAAGGGCUCACCCGUGUCAUGUGAUGAUCCAGCCCUCCCCUAUUUUUAGUUUACUUUUUGCAACUCCUCCUCCAUCUAAACCUUGAAAAACUGCAGGAAGUGCAGAAGCAUCUUUUGAAAGUACCAUUCUGCCCGUUGCCACGAAGGAAUGGAGCCAAUGAUCCCCAGCAAGAGGCAUGAAAAUCCGAAUAAUCCCCAUUCUUUUCCAUUGAAGUUUUUGUAGCAGAUGAAGAGAAGACGAAGAAAACUUCAAGCACCCAUGUACAGAGGGACCCAUGGUCCAGCGUGCAGCGGCGGAGACGAGGGGAUGAGAAGACACCCACAAGAGGGGCAGCGCGUGUGGGGCAUCCGAGCACAGGGGCAGAGGGGGCAUCCGUGUAGGACACAGAGUUCGCGACCUCAUCUGUGAUCGAGAAAUCCCGGAAGCUGCGAAGACCCUGUCUUCACUGAACAUCAUUUGAAACAAAUUGAUAUUUUUGAAUCUUGGCAAUACUCCAGGGACAACAUUACCAGCAAUGAAAUUUCUUCCAAAAAUCCAGAGAAUGCAGUGAGAGACUAAUCUGGGCUCAGUUAAUUAUAUGUUUGUAAAGCACUCUGCGGGGUGUUUUUUUCCCUCACAUAUUUAUUUUUAACACAAACAUAUACACUCUGCUGACGGCAGUACAACCAUGGUCAUAGCCUCUAAACACCAUGAGAGUUUAUCACCUGCAUUUAUUUAUUGAGCAUUCAACAAGUAUUUACUGAGCGCCAGGCUGAGACACGCUUGACUCCUACCUUCAUGGAGCUUAAGUUCUAAUAAACGGCGUUCACUGAACUAUGUUCCA